RNAcentral lists this ribosomal RNA (468 nucleotides) under uncultured bacterium. RNAcentral's name for it is "partial 16S ribosomal RNA". It matches the Rfam family "Bacterial small subunit ribosomal RNA", at positions 28 to 507 of the family's 1533-position model. The record is from RNAcentral.
GACGAACGCUGGCGGCGUGCUUAACACAUGCAAGUCGAACGGAAAGGCCCUGCUUUUGUGGGGUGCUCGAGUGGCGAACGGGUGAGUAACACGUGAGUAACCUGCCCUUGACUUUGGGAUAACUUCAGGAAACUGGGGCUAAUACCGGAUAGGAGCUCCUGCUGCAUGGUGGGGGUUGGAAAGUUUCGGCGGUUGGGGAUGGACUCGCGGCUUAUCAGCUUGUUGGUGGGGUAGUGGCUUACCAAGGCUUUGACGGGUAGCCGGCCUGAGAGGGUGACCGGCCACAGUGGGACUGAGAUAGGGGCCAGACUCCUACGGGAGGAAGCAGUGGGAAAUAGUGCACAAUGGGCGGAAGCCUGAUGCAGCAACGCCGCGUGCGGGAUGACGGCCGUCGGGUUGUAAACCGCUUUCGCCUGUGACGAAGCGUGAGUGACGGUAAUGGGUAAAGAAGCACCGGCUAACUACGUG